RNAcentral lists this long non-coding RNA (32518 nucleotides) under Brassica napus (rape). RNAcentral's name for it is "long non-coding RNA (BNAP_LNC020461)". The record is from RNAcentral. Lineage: Eukaryota; Viridiplantae; Streptophyta; Magnoliopsida; Brassicales; Brassicaceae.
CUUCCUCUUCUUGUGGCCAAACAAAGUGGCUUGCAGCCAUCACUGCAAAUAGCAAAAAGCUAGAAUAAAAGGUUAGUAGCUAUACAAAAGCAAAACAAAGCAUAAGAAAAUAAAGCUUAAUCUCAAGAAAGUUUGAAAUCCUAAUGACAAAUCUACUUAGUUCCCCGGCAACGGCGCCAAAUUUGAUGCAUGACUUUUCAAGGGUCCAAGAUCAAAUCAAUGUAGUAAAAAAGAUUGUCGAACCAGAGAACUAGAGACUUAUACACCAAGAAUACACAAGCUAUCUUAAUCUAAACAAACAAGAAGAUGGAUGAUUUGUAACAAGUUAAGAUCCUAGAAAUAUAAACAAGGUGAUCUCAAAUCCAAUCAAGAAACAAGUACAAGAACUCAAUCAAAUGCUAAGGAUGGAUUCAUGGAUAAGGAUAAUUGAUAUAAGGUGAUCAAGGUUCAAUUUAAAGGUGGCAACUUUCAAUCAAUCUUUCAACCUUAUGCAUAGACACAACACUAAGCAAACUCUUUCUCAAGAUUGAAGCUCAUUUGCUAAAAUAACUCAAGCAUCAAAUAUCUUUGGUUGAAUAUUACUAGAGCAAUCAUGGAGAACAAGUCUAAUAGAAAUCCUAGCACCUUUGACAUCAAAUCUCUUUGGCAAAGCAAGCUAAAAGCCUUGAAGAGUUGGUUCAGACAUUUCAUCGAACACCUCUCGGGCGUGAAAUGCCUAGAGAUCUAUCUUAGAGAGGCCAACUUUAAAAUAGCAUUGAGAUCACUCAACAAGCAAGGAAUAAGAAAGAUCUACAAUAAAACACCCUAGAUCUACAGUUAAUCACCCUAAACUACUUUAACCCAUUGAAUCCAAAAUGUGUCUACUCACUAAUCUCCAUGGAAAACCUUAAAUCUAUGGGAGAUUCAAGGCUAAUCAUGUUUAUGAGAAGGAGAAACAAGAUAUAAGAUGAAGAACUUCCUUAAAUUAAUAAAAAGAUUCAAGCUUUAUAAAAUGAGGCAAAGAGUGUUCUCGAGAGAAAAUGAGAUAAUUCUCAACUUGGGGAUUACAAGAGUAUUUAUAUGGUCUUUGGAAAGCCUAAUGGUUUCCAUAGAAAAGUCUAAAAUGCCCUUUGAAAAUGUUGAUUUUCGGCCAAGGUAAAGACGCGACCCGGGUAGAUGCCAUGGUCGCAACCCGCGUCGGCCAACCCGCGUCAGCUCCUCGUCCAGCUUCUGGGAGGCAGCCCGGGUAAGCUAACCCGCGUCCAUCUACCCGCGUCAGGGUUGAUAUGCCUCUAGUAAAUCGAUCAUAACUCGUCCAAUACAGCUCCAAAUGACUUGAAACCACUUCCAUUAGAAAGAUAACUCAAUUUCCCACGUCACCCCAAAACAUGAGCUUCAAAAGAUAUCUUUAAGGUCUCCAUCCAUGUUCAUCUUUCACCCUUUUGCACCACAAAUGUCACUAAACACCUCUAAGAACUCUAUAGCACACUCCAGCCCCUAAUAAAGACCCAUGUAUGCAAAAUGGACCCUAAAGAUGCAUAAUUCCUAAUCUACGUGAUCAUUAUGUACAAGAAAUGAUGGUUAAAACCAUGUAAAUAUGCAAGAUAUCAAUAUAUGGCAGCAGAUACUGCAUGAGCACAAGGGAUGGCCAGCGCGCCGAACUCCUUGCAAGAACAAGUUUUCUUAUCAAGAUCCACACGGUGAUACAUCCCAUUUCCAUUAACAACUUCGUACUCAUUGUUUAUGAUGUGUUUGACAGCAUAUCCUGUGGAGUCUUUGAAGUUGCGCAUGACGAUAUCAGUAACUUUCGGAGUUAGUGCCCCCACAUUCUUUGCUGCUGCAUCACGUCUCGAAGAGAACCAUCCCAUCACCAUUGACCUAAUAUACUCCAGAAGAGGGACAAUUGGGUAUUCUCUAGCCUCAGACAGUGUUGCGUUCAGAGACUCAGCGAGGUUACUUGUCAUAAUGUUGUACCUUGCCCCAUCAAAAUGUGAUCUAGUCCAGUGCUCAAGUCCAACCCGGAUCAGAUAAUCCGCACAAGCGCCGUCAACCACCUUGAGCUCGUUGAAGUGCAAGUAGAAAUCCUCCAGUUUGUAAGCUCUUGCUGCUCUACCCAGAAGGUACCCCAAAUGCUUCUUCUUGAAGAUCGUCUGGACGUUCCUCUGGAGAUGUAGCAGGCAAGAACAAUGCUUAGCCAUCGGAUAAACCUAUUAAAAGUAACUACAGCAGUUAGCAAACUGUGGGAGUGAUCUUAUUCUACAGACUACCAAAUAAGUUAACCGCUAACUUAUGCACUAUAGUUUACCCUUAAUAUUUUAAAUAGAGGCAAUGCAGUAGGUGCUUACUCUGCGGAUUCCAGAGUAUAUUGCGGUGUGUCUGUCAGAGACAAAGACUAAGUCAGUAGCAUCAGUCACUACAGCAAGGAGCUUGUUGAAGAACCAUGUCCAUGAUUGGUCAUUCUCGCUAUCUACUAUCCCAAACGCAAUCGGAAAUAUCUGAUAGUUCCCAUCUUGUACACUUGUUGUGAGCAAACACCCUGCAAACUUCCCCUUCAAGUGCGUUCCAUCAAUGAUGACUACCUUUCUCAUGAAAUCAAAUCCUUUUUGGCUUGCCCCAAAUGACAGGAAGAGGUACUUGAAACGCUGGACAUUGCCUGGUCCCUUGCUUGUCUCCAAUGCGACCAGAGUCCCAGGAUUCGCAAUGGCCAACUGCUGGAGGUAGAAAGGUAAAGUACUAUAUGCUGCCGCAACAUUUCCACGCCCAUUCUCUAUAGCAAUCUUCCGGGACUUCCAAGCAGUCCAGUAGGAUAUCGGUACACUGUGGUCUCUCAACGCUCCUGGCCUUGGGCCACUUCCGAUACCAACAUACUUGCUCCUCAUCAUUCCCCCAACAAUUGAUGAGGUUGCAUGUCUCCUAAACUGCCCCCGCUCGCUAACAGUGCAAUGGUGGUUACUAUCCAAUGUCUUGAUUUCAAACAGCGGGCACCCAGUGAUUUUAGCUGCGUACACCCGCCAUUGACAGUUAACUCCACUGCACUCCAGAACCAGUUUUCCGGGCUCAGACUUCCUCUUGAAGUAUAUGUACUUGUUAGCCAAUGCAUGUAGCGACAUGUGAACCUUGAAAGCAUCCCGGUCGACAAAUACUUGCCCCACAUAGAGCUGAUUAUUGCUGCCUAUUUCCUCUUCAUCUGAAAUCAGCAAUUUAUAUAAUGUUAGAACAUAUAUACAAACUCAUUUACCAACUAACUCAUCCAUUACUCGGAACAAAUAAACUUAUCCAUCACGGGGGAAGCUUACCUUUUUGCUCACCAGCAUAAGCUUCAUCCUCCUCAAGUGCCACAUCGGCCCCCUCCGUGUUUGCAAAACCAGAGCCAGAACCCAUCUGCAGCCCGAAGAGCUGACCACCCCUGAUGUCUGGACCAGUCAUUACCCCCUUGCCUUUCAUAUAUGAGCCCACCCGUCCUCCAUCAACGUCGUCAGUAGUAGCUAAGAAAACAAUUAACACUCAAACGCAUCAUUUAUCCGCUAACUAUAUAUACUCCAUCAACCAGUUCAUUUCCAACAAAACACUCAAAUAAACUUCUACUUACCUAUCGCCAAUGUCAGGUUCGCUCCAGCUGGCGGUUCUGUAGGUAUUUCCUCAAGCCGGAUCAUCCCUUCAGCAUUAGGUAUGAAAAUAUCCAUUUCAUCUGAUGAAUCGGUCUGAGAGGAGUUUUCAUCAAUCACCAUCAGGGGCUGAAAAAUCUCAUCCCUUGUCAGACGCACGGCGUUCCUACGGAUUUCCACCAUCUGCUCACUGCUGCAGAUAUGGUCAUCAACUUCUCCUCGCUAACUUGCAGAUAACCACCCGAACGGAAACCUUUAUAUGGUAACAACAAAGUUAGCAUACAAGUAUACAACUUAGCAACCAACAUAUUUAAUGGUUGAUAAUGCAAACCUCUCCACGGUAUUGGUUUAGGUGGAACAACAUCAGUCCCGUCUUCCGUCAGCCCGAACUCCUCCCUCCGCAUGGUGUGGUAGCGGCCAACUUCCACGUUUCCAUAGGCCACACACAAAGUCAAUUUAACGUAGUCCAUCCUAACCGCAUGAAGGGCUCCACAUCUUUGUCUUCUAGUAUGUCAACAGGCGGUGUGGUGUAGUCGCCAGGAACUUUCAUCCACUCAGGGAAGUCAUAGGUCAAGGCGACAGGUUCAGAAGGGAGUACUCGGUAUUUACCCCUCACCAUAGCCACCAAGUCGCCGUAAGUCUCAUUCUCUCUCAACACAAUAUCGUAUUUCACUUGUGUGUGAUCCAUGUCGAACCACCAGGUCCCAUGUGCAAGUCUCUGCCAUUCACCUACAACAACUCUCACCAGGUGCCCCAUUGCUUGUACUUGAACAAGUUCGUUGUUUCCUGAACAAAAAGACAGAACACAGAUUGUGAAUCUCUAGUUUAUAACAGCGAACACAACCGUCUAUUAAUCAUCAAAGAGUUGUUUCCUGAACCAAAAAGACAGAACAAGUCUAUAUAGAUGAAUAUAUGUCAAUAAUCUUCAUACCUCUCCUCUAAGAGAUAAUGAACACUGUCAAACGAGUUCCUAAUCUCUAAACUCUCAAUCACAGUUUUCGUUUUCACUUUGUCUCUCACACCAAUCUCUCAACCCUCUGCUAAGUAUAUAUAUUCUAUUCUAUGAACCCUAGUACCAAACCCACAACCCAAUAUGCAACCACCGUUCCACUUACCGAAGCAAUUGUCAUCAUAACGAGUAAGGAGAUCUUUUUUACCCAGCAGUUCCUCGCCUCCGGCGCCUCUUUGUGUCAGUCACGCUCCUCUCUACACGCCUCAACCAAAUCUCAGUUUCUCUACUUUCUGACACACACACGCGUUCUAUCGGCGAACCCACGAGGUUGAAAGAGCCAAAUCGUGGCCAAAAAGUCAUUGUUUUUGCCUAUAUCUAAACUCAUGGGCAUUAACCAAAUUUGGGUCUCUUUUGGGUAUAUAUCGUCCAUUCACUCAACUAAGAAACAUGCGAUGUGAACACCGCCUCUAGGAGUCUAGGAUAUGGAGACUUGUCUCGCUCCCUGCCAGUUGAAAGUUCAAUAUUUGUUUUUGUAGAAAUCUUAGUAGAUGAAUCUUGCACGUAUGUAAAUUAUAACAAAAUCCAAGAAGUCACUGUUAUUGGUUUAUACCCAAAAAGCAUAUACUUUUUCCUUUUAACUCUUUCUUUUUGUUGCUCUAGACUAUCUUAGAUACAAGAGGUGGCAAAAUUGAUCUUUUAGAGACAGAAAGAUGGCAACAAAGUAUCUUUUCUAAAAUUUUGUUUUGCCAACUUAAUCAAUCAGUUUACAUAUGUAAAUAAAAUUGAAUAACCAUUUAUUAAUGACUUGUGUCAGUUGUUUGAAAUUUUGUUUAGUCAACCAACUUUUUUGCCAUUUGUUCUUGUUUCUAAUUAUUUCUUGCUAAACUUAUUCAAAGUUCAUUAUUAUCUUGUUAACUAGGACUACAAAAACAGUUCUUUUCAUUAUUUAAGAUAUGAAUUAUAAUUUUAGUCGCAUGGUUUAGCACCAGAUUUGUUUCUAAACGAAUCUAAUCAUUCAACCAAUAAGUAGUAGUACCACUUAAAUUAUAAAAUACAAAGCAUGUACUUUUCACAUGUAGCGUUCCAAUUGUUAUUGUUAAUAUCUAAUAUUAGUUUUUCGAAAGUGAAAUAUUAAAAGUUGUCUUCUCCGCGCACUAUCUUGGCUCUUAGUAUGGGACGAGUUCGUCGUAUCCUCUUCAUUUUCAACAAAUAGAAAAACAUAAAAGCUCUUCUGAGGAAACUCAAAGAUCUCUGGAGAUUCUCUCCAAUGGCAGCCACAGUACUUGGCUCCGUCUUCGGUAUCUCUCCCGUCUCUACAGAAAGAGUCUGCAACGCUGACUUCCGCAGUACGAAGUCAAACCUACGAGGAAGAACGCAGGCUAUCAAAUCGGUAGCACCGACGAAUCACGGUGGUGUUCGACGAGUACACAAGAACAAGGAGGAUGACGGAGAAGGAGCAAAGGUGGCUAAAUUGGUGGAGAGCCCGUAUUCAAAAGUGGAGGCUGCGCGUCCAGAUUUGCGGAAGAGGUUGUCGGAUUUUUUGGAGGAUGCGAGAGAUUUGGUCGGAGAUGAUGAUGGUCCGCCACGUUGGUUCUCUCCGUUGGAGUGUAGCUCUCAGGCUCCAGGCUCGCCUCUUCUCCUUUUCAUACCUGGUUCGUCCUCUAAUUAACCGAGCAGUAGAUCUUGGACCGAAACUGUAAAAAAAUAAAAACAGGUUGUUUUGUUUUUGCCAUUUUAAAACAUUUUACAUUGGUUAACAAGAGGUGUCCAGUAAUAGACGUGGAUGGUGGGAUUUGAUUUGUGGCGUUGACCCGCAUGGUGUGCUGAUCCUCGCCAGACCAGUCAAAUCAAAGUGCUAUAAUUAGUGGCAACAUAAAUGAAGCUUAUGGGCGAUAGUGAUACCAAAGCUGUUGUACUCAGUUUCUAGUUUCUAGUUUCUAGUUUCUACUAGGGGUCAUAAAGAUUGUCCUCAAUUUUGAUGGUAUCAAUGAACCGUUUUCCCAGAUCAUCCCGGUGUGACGGUGUCCGAACAUCUUGAUGAAAUCUAGAUUUUACUUAUAUAUUCACUCUGCUUUGUCAUUUAAAAGAAAACUAAAUAAUUUUUCAGACAAAAAAUUAACCCAGUAAUAGUAGUAUUUCAUACAAGUCUCCUUUAAUUUUAAGUUUUUUUUUUAUUAUUUUUGAAAAUACAAAUAAACAAUAGUAUACAUUAUAUGUAUAACUAUAUAGCAUAUCAGAUAUAUAUAUCCAUUACAAUUUCAAUAUUUGUAAUUUGCUUCAUUUUUAAUGGAUAAUAAAUUCUAGUAUUAGCUUACUUCAUAGUUUGAGAUAAUCCCUUGUUAAGAUCAAAUAGACACAAAUAAUGAAAUAGUCGAAAAUAUUUUAGCUCAUCACUAGUUUCUACCAUAUUUUAAGACUAAACUGAGAAACUAGAAACCUUGCAGGUACCGAUGGUACUGGACUUGGGCUCAUUAGACACCACAAGAAACUCGGGGAGUGAGUAAUUUUCAAAUUUUUGUUUAUAUGCUUCUUCAUUUUUCUUUUGAAGUUUGCAACUUUGCAUUAGCUUCUUCUUUUUCUUUUUCAUUUUUGAAACAUUCAUGCUUAUGUUUCUUGAUCCAUAUCAGUUGAAAGAAUAAAAUGAGAAAGCAAGAAGCCUAAAAUGAAAUUAAUUGAAUAUGGUUUCUCUGUUUCUGGAAGUUAGUCAUUUUCUGAUAUUUUUUGUUAUCUUUUGAGUAGGAUUUUUGAUGUAUGGUGCCUUCAUAUUCCAGUCAGGGAUCGCACUCCAGCUAAAGGUGCCUUAUUUUUUGUACCAAAACAAAAGAAGAGAAAAAAAAAUUCUAACCAAGAAGACAGCUUAAUGAGGGAUAAAAUGACUUUUGUUUAUGUGUGUUUACAGACUUGGUGAAGCUUAUUGAGAGGACAGUUAAGUCAGAGAACUAUCGUUUCCCAAACAGACCUAUAUAUUUAGUUGGUGAAUCUAUUGGAGCAUGUCUUGCGUUAGAUGUUGCAUCCAGGAAUCCCAACAUCGACCUUGCGCUCAUCUUGGCUAAUCCAGGUACAAACCUCCAUCGGUCUGUGAGAUUCUAUCUUAUAUUGUCGGUAAACGUUAUAACGUAUAUGUAAGUUUUUGCUCAUCGUAUAUAUUGUUUCUUGCAGCCACAGAUGUCAACAACUACAUGUCGCAACCUCUAUCAGGAAUGCUGAAUGUUUUACCAGAUGGAGUUCCCACACUAUUGGAAGAAAUAUUUGGUUUUAAGCAAGGUAGUACACUUUUCUGUUCUCUUGUCAUUUUGUAGUUGAUGUUUGCCUUCCAAAACGUGACAAACAUAUGGUUUCUUUUUUUCCGGGGCACUUUAUUACGCAGGUGAUCCAUUGACUGCAAUGUUAGACGCUUUGACGAAUGAAUUUUACGUCCACCAAAUGGGUGGAGUUGGUGGAGGGAUACUAAGAGAUAUCUUUGCAGUUUCAGCUAAUCUUCCUGUAAGCAUUAAUUUUUAGUUUAUAGUCAAUGCAUUUAUUAUUAUCAACAUCUAAAACAAAUAUAUUUGCAGACGUUGAGUAGGAUGUUCCCAAAGGACACACUUCUUUGGAAGCUGGAACUGCUCAAGUCUGCUGUUGCAUCUGCCAAUUCUCACAUACACGCGGUCAGAGCUGAAACACUCAUACUUCUGAGGUCUUAAUACUUAAUCUCUUUUUACUUGCAAAGACUUGUUCCAGCUUAAAGCUUAGGUGUAAUAUGUGAAUAUCUGGUUAUAUCCAUUGCAGUGGACGUGAUCAAUGGCUACUGAACGUGGAAGACAUUGACAGAUUGGCGCUCACAUUGCCAAAAUGUGUUGUCCGCAAGAUGAAAGACAGUGGACAGUUUCUGUAUUUCGUAAGUGACCUCUCUUCAUCCAACACAGAAGAUAUAUAAACUGAUAACUACACUUUAACUAUCUCUUGGAUUACGUCUCAUAUUAGGAGGACGGCGUCGAUCUGGUUACUAUCAUCAAGUGUACAUGUUUCUAUCGCCGUGGGAAGUCUCAUGACCACCUUUCAGAUUACAUCAUGCCUACCACAUUUGAGUUAAAACAACAAAUAGACGACCACAAGUAAAAAUGCUUAACAAACCAAAUUAGUCUAUUACUUAAGAGGUUAUAGCGAAUAGUGAAUAAUAAUUUUCUACGUUGCAGAUUGUUAAUAGAUGCUACUUCCCCUGUAAUGCUAUCAACUCUAGCAAACGGUAAAGUUGUAAGGAGCCUAGAAGGUUUACCUUCGGAAGGACCUGUUCUGUACGUUGGCUACCACAUGUUACUGGGAUUUGAGCUAGCUCCUAUGGUAUCACAGCUCUUGAAAGAGAGAAACAUUCACUUGCGCGGUUUGGCACAUCCCAUGCUAUUUGUAAACAACCAAGAUGCGUUGGUCGACACGCAGAUGUUUGAUAAAUAUAAGAUAAUGGGUGGAGUUCCUGUUUCCAAUUUCAAUAUCUACAAACUACUGAGUUUAAAGUCUCAUGUGCUUUUGUACCCUGGAGGUGUCCGUGAAGCUCUCCACAGAAAGGUGCUCAUGAGAAUAUAUUUAAUAGUUUGUGACCCUUUUUUUUUUACAGUUUAUGCAUUCUUGGGAGGUUAUAUUAUUAGAGGUUUACAUGUACAGGGUGAAGAGUACAAGUUGUUUUGGCCAGAGCAACCUGAAUUUGUGAGAGUUGCAUCUAAAUUUGGAGCGAAAAUAGUCCCUUUUGGUGUUGUUGGAGAAGAUGACAUCUUUGACGUAAGAUUUUCUCUACUCAGUUCUGUGAACCUCUUGUUUAGCAUGUUAGCAAGAAGCAUUGUCUCUAUGUAUAGAAUAGAAAUGAUCUGAUAAACACUAUACUGGUCUACUUUAUGCAUCACCUGAACCUUGGUUUGCAAGUUAUUAAUUUUGGUUAGGAUAAUGGAUGAUGAAUCUCAGAUUGUACUGGAUGGUAAUGAUCAAAAGAACAUCCCUAUCCUAAAGGAUUUGAUGGCAGAGGCAACAAAGCAAGCUGGCAACUUAAGGUGUUUUAUUUUAUCUACACAAUUUCUUUUUAUCAUUUUAUACUCAUCAAGUGAAACUAAACAUGAGUUUGAACUGUUGUAAAUUACUAGGGAAGGUGAUGAAAGCGAGUUAGGAAACCAAGAUUGCUAUUUCCCGGGACUUUUACCUAAGAUUCCGGGGAGGUUCUACUACUACUUUGGUAAACCAAUAGAAACAGCAGGUAGGGAACAAGAGCUAAAAGACAAAGAGAAGGCUCAAGAGUUUUACUUGCAAGUCAAGUCAGAGGUAGAAGAGUGCAUUGCCUAUUUGAAAAUGAAAAGAGAGAGUGAUCCCUACAGGCACUUGUUGCCAAGGGUCUUGUAUCAGGCUUCACAUGGUUUCUCUUCUGAAAUUCCGACGUUUGAGCUCUGAAAUUCUCUUUUCAAUUGUUUACAAUAUAGAAUAAUUAAUGUGGCUAUGUUGUAAGUAGACACAUUCAAUUAUGAUUCAUGAUAUUUAGAUGUUUUUUUAUUUUCAUGAACCAUGGAAGUCUUAAGGUUGUUCUUCAUACGUAACUCGUGAGAUUGCGUUUCAGCAUAAUUUAAGCUUCAUACAAUGUUCAUGCGUCCAUUAAGUUGUUAAAGAUUAAUACCAAAACUUUUUCUCUCUUUUUUUUGUUUUUUGCGGCUUUUCAAUUUCUUAAGAUGUGAACAACAACAACAUCUUUGAGAAAGAAGUGAGAAGAGUGUCUUGAGAUUAUUACAAUGAAAGGUACAGUAGUACUUGGCUCCAUCAACGGUCUCUCUUCUGUAUCGUCUCUCUCAAGAGAAACAUUCCGCAACGCUGGUUUCUUCUGUUGGAAACAAAGCUCAUCCUCGAAGUAUAGACUCACGGCGAUCAGACUAGAAUCAUCGACUACGACUCAUGGAGGUAUUAGACGAAUAAGGAAGAAUCAAGAUGAAAAGGUGGUUGAGAGUCCGUAUGCGAAUGUGGAAGAGGAGCGGCCUGACUCGAGGAAGAGCUUGUUAGACUUUUUGGAAGAAGUAAGAGGUUUCGUCGGAGAAGAAGGUCCACCUCGUUGGUUCUCUCCGCUUGAGAGCUCCGUUCAGGCUCAAGGCUCUCCUCUCCUCCUUUUUAUACCUGGUUUUUCUUCUUGAUCUUCUUUGGCUUUUCCUAUAAUCUCCAUGGAAAAUUGAGAUCUUACUGUUGAAGUUUAAAAAAACUUGCAGGUAUUGAUGGUACUGGACUAGGGCUCAUUCGCCAACACAAGAAACUUGGAGAGUGCGUAAACUUCAAAAUCUUAUUUAUCCCUUUUUCAUGUCGUUAAGUGUUUGCUAUUACAUUUAUUUAUUUAUUUUUCAUUUUUUUUUUUGUAAAUUCCUCGCGCAAAAAAAAACUAAAAACUAUAAAGAAAAGCUUAAACUGAAAACAAGAAUAUGGUUUUUCUGUUUUUGAAGUACUGACAUGUAAUGGAUCUUCAUUUCUGGUGUGGUUGUGACUUUGAGUAGGCUGUUUGAUAUAUGGUGCCUUCAUAUUCCAGCCAGGGAUCGUACUUCUUCUAAAGGUACCUUGUUGUCUAUUAAAGAUUGCUUUCUGACCAAGAAGAUAGUUGAAAGCUGAUUUUGGUUGGUGUGUUUACAGACUUGGUGAAGCUUAUUGAGCAGACAGUUAAGUCAGAGAACCAUCAUUUCCCAAAUAGACCUAUAUACUUAGUUGGAGAAUCUAUUGGAGCAUGUCUUGCGUUAGAUGUGGCAGCCAGGAAUCCCAACAUCGAUCUUGUCCUCAUCUUGGCUAAUCCUGGUAAAAACCUCCAUCGGUCUGUAAGGUUCUUUAUUUUUCGGUAAGUGCAUAUCGUUGAUCAUCCUAUACACCGUUUGUUGCAGCCACACAUAUCAACAACCUCAUGUCGCAGCCUCUAUCAGGAAUGCUUAAUGUUUUACCAGAUGGAAUUCCCACGCUAUUGGAAGAAAUAUUUGGUUUUAAGCAAGGUACAGUUUCUUUGUUCUCUUCUCAUUUUCUAACUUGACUUCUUGUAGUUGAUACUUUCUCAAGGAUUCUUUAAGUGUCUCCAAGUUUAUUACACAGGCGGUCCAUUGACUGAAACGUUAGAAGCCUUUUCAAAUGAAUUUUCUGUCCAUCAAAUCGGUGGAAUGAUGCUAAGAGAUCUGUUUGCAGUUUCAGCUAAUCUUCCUGUAAGAAUUCAUUAUUAUAAACUCAUUAAUACAAGCCCAUAAUAGCUAUGCAUUUGAAAUUUACUUAUUGUAUUCACCUAAUAAUGUGAUCAACAUAUCAAAACAAUAUUUGCAGACUUUAAGUAGGAUCUUCUCUAAGGACACACUUCUUUGGAAGCUGGAAAUGCUCAAGUCUGCUAUUGCAUCUGCGAAGUCCAAUAUAUCCGCCGUCAGAGCUGAAUCACUGAUACUCUUGAGGUCAAAUUAAUACUGAAUCUCUUAUACUUGCAAAGAAUGUCCUAACUCCUAACUAAGAGCUUAAGUGUAAUAUGUGAAUGUAUGUUUAUUACCAUUGCAGUGGACGCGAUCAAUGGAUGCUGAACCUGGAAGACAUUGACAGAUUCUCGCGCAAGUUGCCAAACUGUAUUCUCCGUAAGUUCAACGACAGUGGACCAUUUCUCCUUUUGGUAAGUGACAUCUCUUCAUCCAGUUCACAAGAAAUAUAUUCAUAAACUACACUUCAACUAUCUCUCUUGUACAUCUCACGUUAGGAGGAUGAUGUAGAUCUUGUUACAAUCAUCAAGUGUACAUGUUUUUAUCGCCGUGGGAGGUCUCAUGAUUACAUUUCAGAUUACAUUAUGCCUACGCCAUACGAGUUAAGAAAACAACUAGAGGAACACAGGUAACAACGUGCCUCAUUAUAGUUUCUCUCUAUGUAUCUUUAAGUAAAAGGGUAUAGUACUGAGUGAUAAUUUUUUACCAUGCAGAUUACUAAUAUAUGCUACUUCCCCUGUAAUGCUGUCAACUCUAGAGAACGGUAAGAUUGUAAGGAGCCUAGAAGGUCUACCUUCGGAGGGACCUGUUCUGUACGUUGGAUAUCACAUGAUAUUGGGAUUUGAGUUACCUCCAAUGAUAGCUCAACUCAUGAAAGAGAGGAACAUUCAGUUGCGUGGGUUGACACAUCCGAUUAUUUUUAUGAACAAGACGAUAGUACACGACAUACUCGACCCUCAGAUAUUUGACAAAUAUAAGAUAACGGGUGGAGCUCCUGUCUCUCAUGCCAAUAUCUACAAGUUGCUGAGUUCAAAGUCUCAUGUGCUUUUGUAUCCUGGUGGUGUCCGUGAAGCUCUCCAUAGAAAGGUGAACAUAACCUUUUUUAUACAGUUUUUGUAUUCUUGGAAAUUAUGUUAUUAGAGGCUUACAUGUACAGGGUGAAGAGUACAAGUUGUUCUGGCCAGAGCAACCUGAGUUUGUGAGAGUUGCAUCUAAAUUUGGAGCCAAAAUUGUCCCUUUUGGUGUUGUUGGGGAAGACGACAUCUGCAAGGUAAGCUUUCAUAGUCAUAAGCUCCAAUCGGUUAUGCUGUUUAGCAAAUCAGCAAGCAAAAUAAUACUAAACAACUUAGAGAGAAAACUAAUAUAUGUUUUAAAUUUUCUUUAUUAAUUGUGUGAAUAAAUAAUUCACAAUACUAAAAAGAAUACUUAAGGCCCAACACUUCUCAGAUGUCAACUUUGAUAGAAAGUACAUCUGCAACAUUGUAGCAUUUUACUAGUGCACCGAGAUUUAAGCUUCGCUAAUAAGAAAUGACAAGUCUUUAUUCCGAUUUCUACAUUACUUGACAUUCUCAGCUUCUACCUAAUUCUACAGAUUACUGCGUUCCACAUAUUAGAUUUGUUCUUUUUAGUUGAUUUCUGAAGUGCUGAUAAAAGUUCCAUACCUUGUAUUCACCCGAACCUCGGUUUUAAAGUAACUUUGGCUGGGAACAUUGAAUGACUCUCAGAUCGUUCUGGAUUCCAAUGAUCAAAGGAACAUCCCUAUCUUGAAGGAAUUAAUGGAAAGGGCAACAAAGGAAGCUGGCAACUUAAGGUGUUUCCACGCUACACUAUAUAUACAUUUUUUUCUCAUGUGUACUCUUCAUGUAAAUAGUCAUAUGAUCACUGACUUUGAGCUUUCAUAAUCUUUUAGGAAAGGCCACGAGAGUGAAUUGGGAAACCAAGAUUUCUAUUUACCAGGGCUUGUACCUAAGAUUCCAGGGAGAUUCUAUUAUUACUUUGGAAAGCCAAUAGAAACAUCAGGUAUAUAUGUUCAAUGUAAAUUAAUGUUGCUUUGAUCUACUCUAGAUCACUGAUCUGAGUACUUGCAAUGGCUUUUUUUCUUUCUUUUUGGCAGGUAAGGAACAAGAGCUAAGAGACAAAGAAAAAGCCCAGGAGCUUUACUUGCAAGUCAAGUCUCAGGUAGAACAAUGCAUUGCCUAUUUGAAAAUGAAAAGAGAGAGUGAUCCCUACAGAAACUUGCUGCCAAGGAUGUUGUAUCAGGCUUCACGUGGUUUCUCUUCUGAAACUCCAACGUUUGAUCUCUGAAAUUAUCAUCUCUUUGAUCAUUUACAGUACUACUUUAUAUUUUAUUUUUCAAAUCAUGAAUUGAACAACAAAUUAGUAUAGAUAAAUAAUAGAAGAAACAUAAAAGUUUUGUUAAAUGAUUAUAUAAGCUUGUCUCUUAAUGGCUAUUGAGUGUGAUUAACGGCCAUUGUUUUUACAAGUGGCAUAGAUAAAUAAUAGGAGAAAUAUGAAACUUUGUGUUCAAAAAAAAAAAAAAAAAUAUGAAACUUUUUGUGUUAAAUAAUAGUCCUUAAAAUGAUUCUCUCUCGUAUUAAUAAAUGAAGAAUAUUACAAACUCAGAUUUUCAUAAAGUGUAUAAGCUUGUCUCUUCAACUAGUAAAUCCAAUCAAACGCUUUAUGCAUAUAGGCCCCGCCUUGCUCAUGUUUGCCCGCCCACACUUUUAAAUAGAUACCGUUUUCUCUGGCUCUCCAGUCCCACAAGGCUCCAUUAUCACUGGGACUUACCUGUUUGAAUGCUGUAAAGCUCUGAGUGUGUCUAUAAUUAGGCCCUUGUCUCAACGUACACAUGAAACGCGUUGUCCCGAAAAUGUUGGUGUUGAAGUAUUUUUCAUAUCGUGCUCCUGGUUCUAUCAUCUCUGUCUUCAUUCGGUUGUCUUUGGAGUAACAGCUUAUAGAGAGCUUUUUCUUGAAUUUGAGUUCGUUUGAAAUCCUGAUGCUGCCGUAUACAUGGCUAAUCAUGCAGAAGCUAACCACACAUAGAAAGAUUGAGAGAUUUUUCAUAUUUAUUUUUAGGAUACUGAUGAUGUACUUCUUUUUGUGGUCUAGAUUAUAUAUACGCAUCUAUAUUGCUAUAUAUGGUAUUUUAGUUUAUAAAUAGGAUUAUAGAAAGACAAAUAAGAUGUGUUGUAGAUGCUCUAAUUAAUAAGCUAUAGAUAAUCCUCACAAAUCCACAGCUUGAACUUCUGUUAAAAACUGCUAUCAUUACUUUGGAAAACAAAUAGAAACAGCUGGUAUACAUGUUAAAUGUGCUUUGACUACUGUAGAUUGCAUGAUCUGAAUACUGGCAAUGGUUUUGUUUUUGUUUUUUCUCUUUCUUGGCAGGUAAGGAACAACAGGCCCAAGAACAUUACUAGCGAGUCAAAUCUCAGGCAUUGCCUGUUUGAAAAUGAAAAGAGAGAGUGAUCCCGCCAGAAACUUGUUGACAAGGAUUUUGUAUCAGGCCUCACAUGGUUUAUCUUCUGAUAUUACAACCUUUAAUCUCUAUGACUAUCAUCUCUUUCAUCAUCAAUUUUUUUUCACAAGUAGCAUAGAUAAAUAAUAUGGGAGCAACAUAAAACUUUUUGUGUUAAAUGGUAGUCCUUAAAUUGAUUAUUCUCUUGUAUUAAUGAAGAAUAUAUACAAACUUCGAUUUUCAUCUGUAACUAGAUCUUGACCUGCGCAACCGCGCAGGUUUUUGUUUUUAUUUAUUUUUAUAUAAAUAUUUUGUUUUCAAUUCUAAAUUGGUAUAUAUUAUAAUAUAUGUGUCUAUCAAUUUUUUAAACAUAAUAAGUUUACGAUAUAUAUUUUUCAUUGAAUAGAUUGUUUUAAAAUUUCACAUGUAUUUGUAUCUUCUUUUAUAUAUAUAUAUAUUAUCGGAUUAUUAUUUCAUUAUUAAAACCAUAACUAUAUAUAUAAAGAUUAGUAAAAUAUUGUUUUAUUGUCAUAUUCAAAGAUAUUGUAACAUUUCACAAAUUUAGAAAGUUUUUAAAAAAUUAAACUUUUCGCUUCAUGGAUUUAUAUUAUCGAGUAAAUAAUUAAACAUUUAGUUUUUGCUUAAUUUUUAAAAUAAACUAUAUAGUUUAAAAUUUGUUUUCAUUGGUUUAAGGUAGUAAAGAUUAAUCAUUGUUAGAUAAUAUUAUUUUUGAUAUUUUUUAAAUUUUUUUUAUAAUUUUAAAAGUUAACAUCGACAUAUAUUUAAAUAUUUAACAUAUGGAGUUAUAGUAUUACACCAUUAAAUUAUAUCUAUUUUAUUUAUAUUGUCUAUAAAUCCAAUGGAUCAUCUAUUCUUUAAAUCCAAUUAUUGAUAGCCCAAUAAAAAUUUCUGGUAGACCCAAAAUUUAAAUGAUAUAAUAUAUGUGUCUAUCAAUUUUUAAAACAUAAUAGGUUUACGGUAUAUGUUUUUCAUUGAAUAGAUUGUUUUAAGCUUUUACGUGUAUUUGUAUCUUCUUCUAUAUAUAUAUUUUCGGAUUGUUAUUUUAUUAUUAAAAUCGUAACUAUAUAUAUAAAGAUUAGUAAAAUAUUGUUUUAUUGUCAUAUUCAAAGAUAUUGUAACAUUUCACAAAUUUAGAAAGUUUUUUAAAAAUUAAACUUUUCGCUUCAUGGAUUUAUAUUAUCGAGUAAAUAAUUAAACAUUUAGUUUUUGCUUAAUUUUUAAAAUAAACUAUAUAGUUUAAAAUUUGUUUUCAUUGGUUUAAGGUAGUAAAGAUUAAUCAUUGUUAGAUAAUAUUAUUUUUGAUAUUUUUUAAAUUUUUUUUAUAAUUUUAAAAGUUAACAUCGACAUAUAUUUAAAUAUUUAACAUAUGGAGUUAUAGUAUUACACCAUUAAAUUAUAUCUAUUUUAUUUAUAUUGUCUAUAAAUCCAAUGGAUCAUCUAUUCUUUAAAUCCAAUUAUUGAUAGCCCAAUAAAAAUUUCUGGUAGACCCAAAAUUUAAAUGAUAAGAUUAGAGAUUAAAUAUAACAUGACUUUCUAGGAAUAGGUCCAUUAGGUCCAUUGUUUAAAAAAUCACACAUGAAUCAAGGUUGUGACUACAUGUUUAAAUAUAUAAACUAGAUAUCGAUCCGCGCAACCGCGCGGUUUUUGUUUUCAUUUAUUUUUAUAUAAAUAUUUUGUUUUCAAUUCUAAAUUGGUAUAUAUUAUAAUAUAUGUGUCUAUCAAUUUUUAAAAUAUUAUAAGUUUACGGUACAUUUUUUCAUUGAAUUGAUUGUUUUAAACUUUCACAUGUAUUUGUAUCUUCUAUAUAUAUAUAUUUUCGGAUUAUUAUUUCAUUAUUAAAAUCGUAAAUAUAUAUAUAAAGAUUAGUAAAAUAUUAUUUUAUUAUCAUAUUCAAAGAUAUUGUAACAUUUCACAAAUUUAGAAAGUUUUUAAAAAAUUAAACUUUCCGCUUCAUAGAUUUAUAUUAUCGAGUAAAUAAUUAAACAUUUAGUUUUUGNNNNNNNNNNNNNNNNNNNNNNNNNNNNNNNNNNNNNNNNNNNNNNNNNNNNNNNNNNNNNNNNNNNNNNNNNNNNNNNNNNNNNNNNNNNNNNNNNNNNNNNNNNNNNNNNNNNNNNNNNNNNNNNNNNNNNNNNNNNNNNNNNNNNNNNNNNNNNNNNNNNNNNNNNNNNNNNNNNNNNNNNNNNNNNNNNNNNNNNNNNNNNNNNNNNNNNNNNNNNNNNNNNNNNNNNNNNNNNNNNNNNNNNNNNNNNNNNNNNNNNNNNNNNNNNNNNNNNNNNNNNNNNNNNNNNNNNNNNNNNNNNNNNNNNNNNNNNNNNNNNNNNNNNNNNNNNNNNNNNNNNNNNNNNNNNNNNNNNNNNNNNNNNNNNNNNNNNNNNNNNNNNNNNNNNNNNNNNNNNNNNNNNNNNNNNNNNNNNNNNNNNNNNNNNNNNNNNNNNNNNNNNNNNNNNNNNNNNNNNNNNNNNNNNNNNNNNNNNNNNNNNNNNNNNNNNNNNNAUAUUUUCGGAUUAUUAUUUCAUUAUUAAAAUCGUAACUAUAUAUAUAAAGAUUAGUAAAAUAUUGUUUUAUUGUCAUAUUCAAAGAUAUUGUAACAUUUCACAAAUUUAGAAAGUUUUUUAAAAAUUAAACUUUUUGCUUCAUAGAUUUAUAUUAUCGAGUAAAUAAUUAAACAUUUCGUUUUUAUUUAGUUUUUAAAAUAAAAUAUAUAGUUUAAAUUUGUUUUCAUUGGUUUAAGGUCGUAAAGAUUAAUCAUUGUUAGAUAAUAUGAUUUUUGUUAUUUAAAAAAAAAAUCUUUAUAAUUUUAAAAGUUAACAUCGACUAUUUAAAUAUUUAACAUAUGGAGGUAUAGUAUUACAAUAUUAAAUUAUAUUUAUUUAAUUUAUAUUAUUUAUAAAUUCAAUGAAUCAUCUAUUCUUUAAAUCCAAUUAUUAUAGCCCAAUAAAAAUUUCUGGUAGGCCCAAAAUUUAAAUGAUAAUAUUAGAGAUAAAAUGUAACAUGACAUUAUAGAAAUAUGUCUAUUAUGUCCAUUUUUUUUAAAAAAUCACACAUAAAUUAAGGUUGUGACUUCUGUUUGAAUAUAUAAGAUAUAAGAAAAGAAUAUUACAAACUAGUAUAUCCAAUCAUGCACCUUAUGCAUAUAGGCCCCACCUUGCUCAUGUUCGCCCGCCCACACUUUCAAAUAGAUACCAUUUUCUCUGGCUCUCCAGUCCCACAAGGCUCCAUUAUCACUGGGACUUACCUGUUUGAAGGCUGUGAAGCUCUGAGUGUGUCUAUAGUUAGGCCCUUGUCUCAACGUACACAUGAAACGCGUUGUCCCCCAAAUGUUGGUGUUGAAGUUAAUUCGAUGGCGUUCUCCUGGGUUUUUUAUCACUGGCUCCAUUUGGUCGUCUCCGGAGAAACAGCUUAUCCAGAGUUUUUUCUUGAAUUUGAGUUCGUUCGCAAUCCUGAUGUCGCCGUAUACAUGGCUAAUCAUGCAGACGACACAUAGAAAUAUUGAGAGAUUUUUCAUUUUUUUCUUAGGAUACUGAUAAGAUGUUUUACAUCUUUUGUUAUUUAGAUUAUAUAUAUACACAGAACAUCUUAUUAGGAAGGGAUCAUGGUCAUGCAUGGAACAUAAUCACGGAAAUUUGACGAGAUAUCUUCCUUUAAAUUUGUAGAUUUUUAUUUCUUUCUGUUUAUUCCAUUGUAAGUAAUUCUGAUUAGUUUAUAAUAAUAUAAAUUGAAAAACGGAAACAAUAUAUUAAUACGAGACUAUAGUUAAGACUCUAUUGAUAUGGUUUUAAUUAUAAUAAGAUUGACAUGCUUAUUUUUGUAAUAAGAAAAAAAGAAAUGAUAGAUAUAUAAAAAAUGAGUGAUGAAUAAUAAAACUACUGAAUCUCACAUUAAUAUUAAGUAUAUAUGUCGAAAAUAAUGACAUCAUGUUAUUUAAAAUUUAAAAUAUUAUUUUUCUAAUUUAAAAUUAGUUAAUAAUAUUUAAUUAAAAUAUGUAUGUAUUAUAGUAACUUUUUAAAAAUGAAAGUAAUACUUUUAAAAAUAAUACUUUUAAAUGAAUCAUUGUUUUAUACGAUAGUCUGAUGAUUGGAGAGAAUUUAAUGAUGUAUUUUUUUGAUUAACCAAUUGUUAGUGUUAAGGUAAUCACUAAAUAAAAAAUGUUUGAGAAAAUGUGAUUUGCGAUUUGACAAAGUUACGGAAAUUUUGUAACUAUUUUAAUUCAAAAUAAAAUAAAGUGGUAAAAAAAUAAUGUGAAAAUAUAAAGUAUUAUAAAAUAUUUUUUUUGCUCAUUAAUCUUUUUUUUAUUAAUCACAAAUUAUGUCAUAAUUUUUUUUUUGAAAACUUAUAUUUAAAUUGAUAGAAUUAUCACUAUAUCUCAAUAAUCUUCUAAGAUUAUACAAUACCAAGACUUUUUAUUUUUAAACUAUUUAAAAUAAUAAAAUUGUUUUGAUUAUUAAUCGAGAAAAAUAAUUGCUGACUACUUGAAGUACUGACCACCACAUGUCAACUAUGCACACUAAAUUAAUAUAUAUCUAGCUACACAAAAUAUAUGUUAUAUAUGAUAAUAUCUCUCAACUUAAUAAUAUUACAUAGUUAGAUUAAUUUUAUUAAUUCAAAAAAUGACAUGUUUAUAUCUCCGAAAUCGUGGACAACCACCUGGUUGUAAUAAUUCCCAUUAGUCUCUCGACAUAUCACACGUGUUUCCCACUAGCCUUUGAUCUUAUGUUGUAAUUUUAUGUUUGGGUUUUCUCUUUAAUAUAUCCUUUAAACAACAGCCAUUUAGGUUUAAUGAAAAAAAUUUGACAAAAAAAAUUCUGAUUAGCAGAUUUGACUACGAGAUUGAGUUUCUUCCGGGAUCUAAUUUGGAACAAGCCUCUCCUGUAAAUUAGAAAAAAAAAAUCGUCCAAAUAAGGUAGAAUUUUUUAUUUUUUUUUUACAUUUUCUGGUCUCUCUAUUUAUUGUCUCAGCUGAUGAACCAUCAACGGGUUUGAUCCGUCAAAAUUAUCAAUACUUUUAAAAGAAGAUUAUUUCUGACCUUUUUAUGUGUAAUGAGAAAUCUAAUCUAUUUUAUUAAUUUAUAGUUUUACUUUUAUCUACUGAUAAAAUGUUGUCACUUAAAAAUUUAAAAUGAGCUAACAAUACAUUUCAUUAAUGAUACAUAUAAUUACCUUUAUAAAAGUUGAAAUUGUUGACCAUGCAUAUGUAUAGUACAGAUUCAUGAUUUUUAGCAUAACCACUUCUAGGCCUGGAAUUUAUAACCGAACCAAAAUUUUCAAACCGAACCCAACCGAGAUUUGGUCUUUUUGGUUUCACUUCGGUUACUGCAACAGAACCGAUCGGCAGAAAUUUCAAACAUGUUCGGCUUGGAUUGGUUCGGCUUGGAUUGGUUUGAUGACCCUAAUGGUUAACUCAAACAAAAUCCUAGUUGACGAUGUUCUUUUGUUAAUUCACAGCUAAACCUAGAACGACUAUUUAAUAUUGUUUUAUAAAGUUUAGAUGGCUCAUCUAUAAAUAUUUGAUAAAAUCACAUCAAAUUGCCCAAAUGUUAAAUAUUAAAAUGACACACAUUUUUAUCACGUGCUUGUCUUCUUAAUUUUCAGCCCUAGUUUGUCCAGUCUUCGCUUUUCUUUUUGCUUGUUUUUUUGUAUCUCUUAACUACUCUGUUUCAUGAUCUCUAUCUUAUGUGUUAAAACAGAGAUUGAGCUGGUGGAUACACAAGAAUGCUCCGCACUCACAUACGACACGAGUUGGUGAUGCUGCACGAAUGGGCUUUAUCGAGUAUUCAUAUCUCUUUUCUGUAUUGUUCAUUUUGUCUAACACUUUACCGCAGUAUCAUACUGAAUUUGAGUCUUCUUUAGUCGCAAUUACGAAAAUAUGGAUGCUAUAUGUGUUUGAGCAGUAUUCGAUUCUUCUUCCUGCAAUAUCACAUUGAAUUUGAGUCCUUUAUGUGGUAUAAUGUAAAACAAAAUCCUAAUAGGGAAAAAGUUAGCUGAACCCUUAUUUAUCAAUUUAUUACUAGAUUAACUCGAAUUUUAUUUUAUUAAUAGUUUGUUAUAUCGAUUUUACCAUUAUUUUUUUGUUACAGAAAAUAGUAUUUACGAUUUUGCCAUUACAUAGACUUAUUUUUCAAUGAUUUAUGUAGUCACAAAUUUAUUUUCGACAUAUUUAUUUCUCUUUAGUCACAGAUUUACUUAAAUUUGACAGAUUUACUUAAACAAAUUUGUCAUGUUUUACCCACAAACUUAUUUCAUUACGACAGAUUUAAUGAUGAUUUGAAAAAUUUAACUUUUAUGUCCAUAAAUUUACGUAUGUGUAAAAUGUUAUGUUUUGAAAACCGGACCAGAUGUUGAUUCGACAUUGUCACUAGAUUGCUGGUCGGACCGGUGUACCAGUCGAACUGGGGUUUUAUAUGUAUAUAUAGUAUGUAUAUAUAACAUGAAAAUGUUAUAAAAGGAACUAGGAAUAAAACAUACUUUGAAAAACAGAUGCUAUGAAAGUAUAUAUGAAUUUUAGUUAUAUAUAUAUGACAAUAUAACUAACUAAAGAGGAUUUAUUUAAAUCAUAAGUUUCGUUUUAACUGAGAAUCUGUUUAACAAAUUUUGCUUUCCUUACUUUGAAGUAAGAAAAGUAAAAGUAGAAAUAUUUCCUAAACAAAUUAUUUGCAUUAAAUUGUAACGCAAAAUGGAAGUAAAUGAUGCAAUUUAGAAAACUGAAUUCUAAUAUUAAACAUGGUCUCUGGUUUUGCCAGUUUUCAACUGGUUUUAGCGCUUUAGGUCAUAUCUGAUUUUCGACUUAAACCGGACUCGGCUACAUAGCCGAUUCACAGUCAGAUCGGUUAGACUGACCGGUCCGGUUUUCAAAACCUGCUUAAAUGUGGUAUAAUGUCAAGCUAAAUUAUAAUAUACAUAAUCACAAAAUGUAACUUUCUUUAACUAUCUCAUCCAGCGCAGGGUGCGAAUCGCUACCUAGUCAUAUAUUACUUAUCAAAUAGGAUCAUAUAUUAAAUCUAAAUAAUAUUACUUACCACGAAACAAAUCAAUAAUUCCCAAAAUAUAGUACAGAUUCAAUUACUGUUUUGGUAUGUGAUUAGCUUUUUAAAAAUUUACUAUAUUAAAAUACAGUCCUAUUUAAACUCUACCAUGACAUAUUUUCUUUUGGACCUAUUCAAUAAGUUGGGACUAAAAUAUACACGCUCUACCUAUUUUUUAGUCUAUUGUUAAAGAUCGUUAUUAAAAUUUGGAUUACACUGCUCCUUUAUGUAACACAAGAUAUGAGCCCGUUGCGUUGUAACGGGUUUUGUGUGAUGUUUUCAUUUAAUAAAAACUAUAAAACAAGAAAUAAUUUUAUUAUAGUUUUAUGAUUGGUUUUUUUUUGCAUAUGUUGUUUGAGAUUUAUUUUAUAAUUAAAACUCAUUUUUACACAUAAGUUUAAGUUAAUAUUUGUAUUUUAUAGUCAUGGUAAAUAGAUGAAUUGUUAUAAACUUUGUACUUAGGAUUAGAUAAAAUACUAUAUCUAAACGUUUAAACUGAACACAACCCGAAAUAAGAAAUUGAAUGAAAAGUAAUGACAACAUUAAUGACAACAUUAUACAUGUUCUUAUGUAAUAAUUUAAUGUUUUAUUAGAUAAUUCUUUAAAAAUUUAUUUUGUUUGGAUUUUUUUUAAAGGAAAAAAUUCUAUUUUAUAAGAUUUUAGAAAAAGAAAAUUAUUAUCAUAUAACAUAUUAUAAUAAUCUUCUUUGUAGAAUUUCAGAAAAAAAUAGAUUGCUAUCAAAUAAUUAUUUUUAGUUACUAAUAAAGAAAAUUUACAUUUCGUAUCAAUACUAAUUUUACACUUCUUUUGUUAAUUAAAUAUAUUUUUGUAUCAUGUUCAUCAUCAAAUACUCUCUUAAAAAUAUUAUCAAAUAAUGUUUUAUAAUUUUCUUUUUAUUAGGACUUAAAAAUAUGAUACAACUUUUUUUUUUAGGAUUUUUUAUACAAAUAAGAAACAAAACUAUCAAAUACUCUUGCACAGUUUUUUAGGAUUUUAGAAAAGAAAAUUAAUAUUACAUAUUCUUUUACAAUUAUAUUUUUUCUAGGAUUUAGAAAAAUAAAAUUUCUAUCAAAUAAUUAUUUCCAGUAAAUAUUAACUAUUUUUAAAAGUUGUCAUUUUCAAAAUUCAUUUUUUCCAAUAUCACUAAUAUUUUUUACAAAUUUUCUUGUUAACUAAAUUUUUUUUUACUAUCAUAUUUAUCAUUAAUUUUUAUAAGUACAAAUUACUAUUAAAUAAAAUUUUACAAUUCUCUCUUGUCAGGAUUUUUUUUAAAAAGAAAAAAAUCUCAAUUGGUCAAGAUUAGAGAAUAAUUUUUUUUUUUUGAAAUCUCUUUUAUUUAGGAUUUUAGGAAAAGAAUAAGUUAUUUUCACAUAAUGACAAUUUUAUUGACAUUCAAAAUCUAUUUUUUUAAUUGACACAUGUCACAAUCAUAUCAGGUGAAAUAUUUGAAGUUAAUUUUGGUUUAUAUUUUUUUAACACAAAAUUAUUAAAAAGUAAAAUUAGUUAAUUAUAAUAAAAUUAAGAUUAUUUUUAUAUAUUUAUUUUAUUUAGACUUUUAAAAAGGAAAUUAAUUAUUUUAUAAUUAAUUUUAAAAAAAAAAUAUUUUUACUAUUAAAUAAUUUUUAAAAGUAGUUUUUAUCAAAAUUCGUUUUAUUAUCUUAUUAUAUAUAUUUUUAAUUAUUAUAUAUUUAAACACAUGUCACAAUAUUAUAAGGAAAAUUGUUAUCAAAUAGUAUUUUACAAUUAUCUUUUGAUUAAGAUUUUAAAAUAUGAAAAUUACUAUUAAAUAAUAUUUUAAUUAUUUUUUAAUAAAAUUCGCUUUUGUUAAUAUCUUAAUAUAUAUAUUUUUAAUUAUGAGAUAGAUUAACACAUGUCAUAUUCUUAAAAUAUAUAGUUGGCAUGUAUCGCGAUCAUGUUAAUUAAAAAUUUUGAAGAACCAAACUUUUAGAAAAGAAAUAUUAUAUUAAAUAAAUGGUUUUCAAUUUUUUUAAGGAUUUUGUAAAAAGAAAAUUUCUAAAAUAAUUACUACUAAAUAUUAAAAAAAAAAAUUAAAUGGUUUUCCAUUUUUUUAAGGAUUUUGUAAAAAGAAAACUUCUAAAAUAAUUACUACUAAACAUUAAAAAAAAUUACUAUUAAAGAAUUUUUAAAAGUAGUUUUUAUCAAAAUUCGUUUUUAUUAUCUUAUUAUAUAUAUGUUUAAUUAUUAUAUAUUUAAACACAUGUCACAAUAUUAUAAGGAAAAUUAUUAUCAAAUAGUUUUUGGCAAUUAUUUUUUGAUUAGGAAUUUAAAAAAGAAAAAUUACUAUUAAAUAAUAUUUUAAUUACUUGUUAAUAAAAUUCAUUUUUGUUAAUAUCUUAGUAUAUAUAUUUUUAAUUAUGAGAUAGAUUAACACAUGUCACAAUCUUAAAAUAUAUAAUUAUUAUGUGUCGCGGUCAUGUUAAUUAGCAAUUUUGAAGAACCAAGCUUUAUAUAAUAAGAUAUAAUCGAAUUUCUUAAUUAAAAACAUCACACUAAAUCAUCCUUCGGUUAUUCUACAGGUAAAAGACCAAUACAUAUUUCAAAUACUAAUUAUAUCAAUCAAACCACGACUAUGUUUAUCUUCUGACUUUAAUACUCACUAAAACUGGACAUCGCAUGAACCCAUAAAAUCAUAUUUGCUUCUCUUCCGCUCACGAACUACACCUACAACACACCAAAAUAUAUUCAGUUCAUAUUUGUCCAUAUUUAAUUUUACUAGCAUAGUAGCAUUCUAACAAUCUCUAUACUUACACGAGCUUUGAAUAAUACACCAUAUCACAAAGUAAUAGAUGGCAUGAUAUUUAAAAAAUGUCUAUAUAUAAUAAAAAUCUACAUACAAUCAAUUAGAUUGAAAAUUCUAACCAAUUUUUAUCUAUUUGAUCAAAUCUACACUAACGCAUCUUGUAUACAGUGUAUCCUCUAUCAACUUAAUUCAAAUUUAAACAUUUUCAAUUAUCUAUUAGAUAUUGACAUCUUAACUUUUUUAUAACUGAAUUGAGAAUAUGUCUAAGUCUAACGAUCCUCAAAAUUGAUAAAUGAAUAUGCUUAUCGAUCCUCCUAAUGGUUAGUAGUGUCUAAACAAAAUAAAUAAUCUUCCAUCCUCUAUACUUUCUGCACCUCACAAUCAUAAACUAAAAGGCAUAUGACAAUGGUGACGUCCAACAGAACUACUUUAUUGAAAGAUGUCAAACCAGACAAAACUGGAUGGAAGGUUGAGAUCAAAGUUCUGCAUUCAUGGACUCAGCACUCAUCUUAUGGUGGUGGAGACUCUCUUGAGUUCAUACGGCAGAUAAGACGGUAAGUGUACUAAUGUUUUAAGCGUUUAGUUUCUCUAUAACUUUAGUUUUGUAAAACUUCUAAAUCAAUGAUCUUUUUGUUCUUCCUUUUAAUCCACUCUCAUAAGAAGAAGAUAAAUAACAUGGACUGUUUGUUAUGAUUAGUAUUAGAAAACGAGCACGCAUGUAACCAACACAGAAACUGUAAAACCAUUUUGAGUUUUGGCAGUUUCAAACAUAAAUUACUUAUAAUCAGUGAGAUCAAUUUUGACGUUUGGGAUGAUAAAUAAGAACUAACAAACAGAAAUAGAGCAAGAAGAAUAACUAGAGAAUCAAGAAGAACUAAACAGACACAAAAACAUAAGAUAAGAAAAAACAGAGAACCAAGAAGUAAACAAAUACAUAAACAGAGAAUCAAGAACUAAACUGACGAAUAAACAGAGAAACAAAAAGAACUAGACAGACACAUAAACCGGGAAUCAAGCACUAAACAAACAUAUGAUAGAACAUGCAAAACAAUGUGCAAAGGUUUAAUAACUAACCGUUAAUUUUAAGGGGUUUUUUUGCAUCAAUAUCGAGUUAACCUUUGCCUCUGUUUCUUCAAUAUAUCCAAAUGUGAUAAAACAUUCUACGAAAAAGAGAUUACAUAACAAAUUAGUUAAUUAAUAUAUCAAUUAGAACAACAAAAUAAAUAAGAAUACGAGACUUAGCUUUGUAUGUUUGUUGGAGCAUAAUUUCUUAAAGUGGAUAUUUCUUCUCUGGUUCACAACAACUUCUACCGAUUAAGAGCAUCACUAGCUUUACAUGAUACACAAACAAAUACAUUAAAACCAUAUGCCUACAGAGAAACACAUAAAACGAUAAUCACAAUCAACUAUAUCAGACUAUAUACUUUCAUGAUCUCAAUAUCUAACUAUCAUAUGUAAUUGUAGCUCAACCAGAUGCUAUACCUUUUUAAGUCUGUACAGAACCCGCAAUAAGGCCUUCAAAUUGGUAAAGUUUGCUUCUUAUCUUCAUUGAAACAGAUUUUUCUUAAAUAUGUCUCGACAUAUACGUAUAACACAAAUCAAUUCUAUACAUGUAAAAUGUAUCAUAAUCUAAAUUAGGCAUGACAAAUUUAUCCAGAACCGAAGAACUAGACCGAACCCAAAAUGUAUACGAACGGAUCAUAUACUCUAAAACUAAAGGACCAAAACUGAAUCGAAACUGAACCAAGAACCGAAUGGUUAUCCACAUUUUUGUAAUAUAAUUUACAUAUGUAUAAAUAUUAACUAUAUUUAGUUUUAAAAUAAUCAAAAUUAAAAAUUAUAUUUAUAAACAAAAUACACAAAAAGCUGAAUUACCGGAAUAAUUUUAUCAAAAUAUAAUAUUAACUGAAUAAUCCAAUUUUUUUUAUCCGUAAACAAAGAAAAAACUGAUAUUUAAUCAAAAAGACACCCAAAUUUUAUGACUUUUAAUCCAAAUUAACCAAAAACUUGAACAUUGUCGGAAUCGAAUGGAUUCUAAAUUAAUCUCAGGUAUUAGCCGAUUCUUACUUUUGUUACCCAAACUAAAAACAAAAAAAAAACAUGAACCAGACCCAAAUUGAAUUUUCUAAAUACCCGAACGGAUUUUAAACCUCUGAAUCAAAUCGGAACCAAAAUCAAGAACCAAAUGCACAUGACUAAUCUGAAUAAUUUUAAUAAAGAUUUGACAAAAACAAUAUCUGCAGACAGCGCGGAUCCGUAUCUAAUUGUGUUUAAAUUGGACAAUAAUCCAACUAUGACAAGAGUCGUAACAGAUAACAAUAUACUCAAAAGGUAUAUGUAACUACACAAACUGUAAUAAGAAUCAAGAAAACUAAACGAUUUUUAAAAGUAUGUCUAAAUUAGAUAACAAAACAAAUAUGCCACAAAAUCGUAACAAUGUAGUCAAAAGUAAUAUCUAUCUGCACAUUUUUUUUCUUUUUUUUUUGACAGCAAGAAACAUUUACAGACUCAUAUAGACUCCGUAAACCAAUGUGGUAACUCUGCAUCUAUGUGUACGACGAAAGACGGUUGUGUCGGAGCAUUGUGUGCUAAGCGAUUCGCCUUUAUGUUUGCCGUCCUAGGAACAUGAACAAUCUCUGAGUUAGUAAAGCUUUUUCUCAAAAACUUUAUAUCAUCCAGGUAGCUUUCAAAUGCUGGUCAUUCUUCUGGUUCCGAAACCAUCUUCACCAAUUGAGAACAAUCUGUUGCAAACGUGACCCGAUACUGUCUUAAGUUCUUCAUACAUUCCAUUGUCCAAAUUAAUGCCUCCAACUCCGCAUGAAGAGGUGAGAGACUUGCCCUUACAUUUCUUGCCCCUAACAAACCCUCAAACCCCGGUAAGGUGCUGAACCAGCCUUGUCCUGAAAAAUAAUCUUUAUCUUUCCAAGAACCGUCAGUGAAACACCAUCUUCAUGUAGUCUCUGAGUACCACCCUGGGAUUAUUUACAACUUGUGCCUCAGCCCAAAGUGUUGAUUCCAAUUCUGCUAAGUUAAGCGUUUCCCUCGGAUCAAUAUCAAUAUUACUGAAAACUUUGUUAUUCCAACCCUUCCAUAUGUACCAUAGGAUCCAUGCAAACUGAUGAUCCUCCAUUUUUGGAUUAACUAUCCAAAACAGAUGAUCCAUAUUAGCAAAAAUAGAGCCAAAAGGAAAAAUGUUUGGGUUCGAUGGAAUCUUAGAUAGUGCACACACUUGACGUACCGGAGGACAUUCGAAGAACACAUGAUUUAUUCAUUCCUCCGGGUCCCCACACCGUGCACAGCUUAUAUCUCCUUGUAUUUCUCUUGAUUUUAAAUUUUUUUGUCACUGCUAUACAACAUGUCAGCAGCUGCCAUAAAAAAUGCCUUAACUUUGGAGGGAACUUCACUUUCCAGCAGAAUGCCUUAAGUACGUCCACAUUGGGUCCAUAAAAUUCUGGUGGUUUUUCCUUAUCAGGAUAUAUCCUUUCUACUUGAUACCCUGAUUGUACUGUGUAUCUCCCAUUAUUAGUGAAAUGUCAUCCAUUCCUAUCAUCCAUCUGAUUUCUACUCAGAGGAAUACUUUCAAUCAUUUUUGCAUCGCGGGGUUCCACCAAAGUCCUAAGUGCCUGUAAAUUCCAUUAUCGGGAUUCCUGAUGGAUGAGGGAAUCCACUGUGAGGUCCGGGUAACUGUUAUGAAAGUUUUUGUUUGCUGGUCUCGGGUGAGUGGAUGAGAUCCAAGGGUCAUUCCACACUGAGAUAGAUGAUCAUGUUCCAACCCUUUUAAUUAGUUCUUUACAAACCAGAGAUCUAACAGAGAUAAUACUCCUCCAGCCAUACGACGGGUAAUAUGAGCGAAUCGUUUCUAGGGGUGAAGCAUUCCUGUAGUACCGUCCUUUGAAAAUUCGCGAAAAAAGAGAAUUUGGCUUCUCGAUCAGCCUCCACAAUUGCUUUCCCAACAUUGCCGUAUUAAAAUCAGUCAAAUCCUUGAAGCCUAGCCCACCAUUAUCCUUAUGGACACAUAAUUUAUCUCAUGAUUUCCUAUGCACACCCGUUGUACUUCCUCAUAGGCUCCACCAAAACUGAUCUACUGCACUCGUUAGUUUCUUCACUGUAGCUUUCGGUAGCCGAUACACCGACAUCACAUGGUUUGGCAGAGCCGUGAUCACCGACUUAAUAAUCACCUCUUUUCCCCCUUUUGUAAAAAAUAUAAAAGUUCAUCCAUUCACCCUAUUAUUCAGACGAUCUUGUACAAAACCAAACACUUGGACCUUGAAACCUCCUAAACUUUCUGGCAAGCCUAAAUAAGAACUCAUUCCUCCUAGGUUCUGAAUCCCCAAAAUAUCUCUCAACUCUUGACGGCUGGCUUCCUUAAUCUUAUGUCCAAAUUGAAUUGAGGAUUUCUGAAAAUUAAUUUGUUGCCCUGAGACAGCCUCAUAAUCCUUUAGUAUCCUGAGAAUAGCUUGGCACUCUUUUUGUUUGUCUUACAAAAGAACAAACUAUCAUCUGCAAAUAGCAAAUGAGAAACUGCUAGACACGCUCUUGCAACCUUCAUACCGGUUAAUUGUUUCAUCCUCUCUGCUUUUUUUAUAUUUGUAAUUAAAGCCUCAGUACACAUAAUAAAUAAAUAAGGAGAUAAUGGAUCCCCUUGACGUAAUCCCCGCUGAAGUAUUAUAAGGCCUCGUGGUUGCCCAUUGAGAAGAACUCUAUAUUGAACUGAGGAUAUACACCCUCGCAUUAAUUUAACCCAAUGAAGGUCAAAUCCCAUUUUAUGAAGAAGAGCCUCAAUAAAAUCCAACUCUAUUCGAUCAUAUGCCUCACUCAUAUUCGUUUUAAUUGCCAUUCACGUAUCACGUUAAAUAAAAAACUAUGUGUUUUAAACGUGAGAUGUUAUAAGCUUAAGCAUAUUGUACAAGUUAUUGCAAGAUUUUAUUUAGAUUUAUAAUAAAUUAUGAUAAUAAAACAAUUUGUAUAAAACCAAACUGUUACGUAAUAAUGUUGAACAAUAUAAAUUUAUUAAUAUUACAAAAUAUAUGAUAUAAAAUCUUUAUAUAUAAAAUUGAUUUGUGUGAUGCACACAGCCUUCCACAACACCACAACAGGUUGGGGCUUUUUUCGACACCUGUUAGCUCCAGAGUAGAUCGGUGUGGCCACGUUCCCUCCUCCUUCUCGCGCGCGUCGUGUUGUCUGUAUCAUCUUCUCAACAUCAACAAUCAAAGAUCAGUAGCCGACAGUUUCAACUUUCAUUAAUACAAACGUAAAGCCCAGUUUUAACGUGAUUUACCCCACUCGUCUCACUCUCAAGCAUUCAAUCAACCUCAUCAUCUCCAAAGUAACCGAUGGAAACUCAAACUAUAAAUCCCCAAGCUCUCAGAGAUGAACAACCUCAGCGAAAUCGAGAAGAAUAGUCUUUUCUGAUUACCAACUCCGACAAUCUCAUCACCUUACCGGUUGAGAUGAGCUCCGAAACGUUGGCGGCUGGAGACGGCGGCGAAACGAGCGCUGGGCCAGCACCGGCAUACGACAAACAGAAGGAGAAGGCGCGCGUGAGCAGACCGUCUCUGAUCCUGUGCCACGACGCGCACCAGAACGACGCAUCUGCAGUCUGGAAACUCCUGGAGAAAGAUCAGUCUCUGGUUCACGCCAGAGAUUACGACAGCCAAACGUCUCGGGUGGAUCGAUGUUGUUAAAUGUCUGAUCGAGUUUGGUGCUGAUGUCAACGCUCAGGACAGGUGGAAGAACACGGUACACUCUUUUUUUAAAUGUUAUUCGGUUCUUUUAUCUCUUUAUAUCAUGUUUGAUCUGAAACUUUUGUUGUGUGUGUGUUUUGAAAGCCUCUGGCUGAUGCAGAAGCUAAUAUGAGCUAGGAAGCAGAAAAUGAUCGAGCUACUCAAAUUUCAUGGCGUUUUAUCUUAUGUGAGUUUUUUUAAUAUCAAAGUUAUAAACUUUCAUUCCUCGAGGUAGAAAAAUUGCUAUGAAAUAUUAAAAGAUUAUUGCAAUAAAUUUAGGAACUUUCUCUGUGAAGCAAAGCAGCCUGCUUUAAUGCGUGUGGCUGAUUGAAUUUUGUCUACGCAGGGUCAAAACGGAAGUCACUUUGAACCAAAGCCUUUGCCACCACCAAUUCCAAAGAAGUGUGACUGGGAGAUUGACCCUGCUGAGCUGGAUUUCUCAAAUGCAGCCAUGAUUGGAAAGGUUUGUGUAUUCUUUUUGAAUCAAGUUUUGAUCAUAGGUGAUCGAUCCAUAGUCUUGAGUUUGUUUAGUUCAGUGCAGUGGACUAAUUGGAUCUUUGGUCACAUUUUGUUAGGGUUCAUUUGGUGAGAUUGUGAAAGCCUAUUGGAGAGGAACACCAGUGGCUGUCAAACGUAUUCUUUCUUCUCUUUCAGAUGAUAGACUGGUUAUGUAAGUUCUUAUUUCUCUCUUUUGAGAUUAGCUGAUACCUUGGUAGAAGUCUGUCCUAAGAUUCUUGUGUAUUCAUACUGUAGACAAACUCAAAACAAGAUAGAUUCUGCUCAUAAGAGCUUAUUGACACAGAAAAUGAAAUAGCUUUAAGAAGCUUUAUUGUGCAAUGAAACUAAAGAAAGGAAGAAUCUUUAUGCUUGUCACCAAGAUAAGUAAGAUUGUAAAUGAUUCAUAAAUAUGAAGGGAGAGGCUGCAUUCAACGCAGCCUUCGUUACAUUGCAAAGUGACCUUACACAGAUAUUUAUAUCAACUCAAUAUGCUAGAAAACCUAGAUACAAUGAGCUUAGAUAAUGGGCUUCCGGUCUUUAUUUGGGCCUUGCUAAUACUCCCCCGCAAACUUAGCGUGGAUGGAGCAGCUACGCUGAGUUUGAAAGCACAGAUGGAUAUGGCUUGAAAUGAGCAUAAGUAGAUGAAGUAGGAUGCUUGAGAUGUUAGCAAAUGGUUCUACUCACCAUUGUAGACAAACAUUAGUGUGAGAUCUAUUCAGACCUAUACUUGGAGAGUAUCACAUGGCUUCACUCAGAGGUUUCUCUUGAACUUGGAGAGCUUAGUUGAUCUCACUCAGAGGUAUAAUUGUGGCCUAUUUGUCUCACUAUGAAUCUAGGUUUACUUUACCCAUUUCAUCCUUCUAAUGUGUCUAAUGAAGAACACUCUUUCCACACCUACCAAAUACAACUAUACUCACUCUCUGCUUCCCAUCAAUAUCACCAAAAUUCUGCCUCUAAACAAACUGACCUUCUUGUGAGCAUUUCAGCGAGCACUUUGUGUGCAUUAGCAUUAAAGCCAGAGCUUCCACACGCAACAAACCCAAACCUGCCUAUUUCAUUAUAGCUUCGGUUCCAAACCUAUCUUAACCCAAGAAUUUAAGCUAACCAGCAACUCAAUCCAACACAGAGACAUUUAUUUUUCAUCUUUUGUUCUGUCUCAGUAGAAAGAAAUAGACAAUACCGUCCAUAAAGUGAUGAGGAAGUCUUUCUUUCUUCUCUGUCUGUUCUGAGCCCUACUUCACAGCUUCAGCUUCAUCGCUACCCAGAAAACACACAGCUUCAUCUAACUGAAGCUUAAAGAAAACG